AACCAAUAAGAAUGUCGCGAGGUGUGAAACCCACGCGCACGAAAUACAAACCACUGUUUAGUGUUUACAUUUCCUUCUCUACUGUGACAACUGUGCUUCGAGUCUGUUUCAAGUUUAAAUGAUAUGUUAUUGUGAAGGCGAUUUUAAGAUUAAUUUUUUGGAGAUGAACACACGAGAGCUUGUGAUGUUGUAUAAAGAAGAAAUUAUAAGAGGCGAAUAAAUUGAUGGUUCCGUUACAAACGAUGCAAAGAAAUUCAAGACUUCGAAGGUCCCGAAUAGCUUGAAAGUGAAAAGUCUGAAAAGUCUGCUUCAUUCUAAUAAUUCAGAGACCACCGAAGCGCAUGGCGACGCGAACAGAUUCGACAUCACAAGAGAGACUUGGUGACCUUUGUUGAUUAUGAAGAUCAUGAAUUAAGGCGAUAAUGUUAUUGCAACAGUUGAGCAGGCACUAUACACUCCAACAAACAAGAACAAGGGUGACCAACAAGACAAGAAAACACCACCAAGUGUC
Long non-coding RNA from Dendronephthya gigantea, 511 nucleotides. RefSeq lists it as uncharacterized. NCBI's taxonomy places the organism in Eukaryota, Metazoa, Cnidaria, Anthozoa, Malacalcyonacea, Nephtheidae. The transcript is spliced from 3 exons. The record is from RefSeq and is a predicted model, not a curated record.